This 884-nucleotide non-coding RNA is filed under the name Plasmodiophora brassicae. RNAcentral's name for it is "Eukaryotic large subunit ribosomal RNA". It matches the Rfam family "Eukaryotic large subunit ribosomal RNA", at positions 792 to 1711 of the family's 3401-position model. Lineage: Eukaryota; Endomyxa; Phytomyxea; Plasmodiophorida; Plasmodiophoridae. The record is from Rfam by way of RNAcentral.
ACCCAGGAGCAUAUAUUGUAGAGGCCCGAACGAUGGCUUGAGCAGGACAGGGUGCAACACUAGGGGCGAGAGACUACCCGAACUAUCUACAUAGUAGCUGGUUCCCUCCGAAGAUUCCCUCAGGAUAGCUGGAGUUGACAGACGUGUUGUAUCAGGUAAUGCUGAUGAUCAGGGUCCUUUAGGGGCAAUAUGCUGACCUGAACCUACGUAAGUGGGUAUGAAAGGGGGCGUUGCUUCGGUGAACCUCCAUGGCAACCGCGAAUUCUUAGUGGGCCAGUUUUGGUAUGUAAGCAGAACUGACGAUGGGGGAUGAACCGGACGUCCGGUUAAGCUGCUAAAGUGCUCGCUCAUGUAGAUCCCAUGAAAGGCGUUGAUUCAUCAUCCAGACAGCAGGACGGUGGCCACGGAAGUCGGAAUCCGCUAAGGAGUGUGUAACGACUCACCUGCCGAAUGGAUUAGCCCUGAAGAUGGUGCUCCAACAGGCCACCGAUACCGGGCCAUUUCUGCGCGUGCCUAUGCAGAAAUGAGUAGGAGGACGUGGAGGUCCUUGGCGACAAAUCUCUUGGCGUGAGCCUGGAGGAAUAGGCAUCUAGUGCAUAGAUCUUGGUGGUAGUAGCAAAUAUUCAAAUGAGGACUUUGAAGACUGAGGUGGAGAAACGUUCCGUGUGAAGAGCAUUUGGACACGGAUUCGUCGACCCUGCCUGGGAGCUCUCAACGACACUGAACAGGCCGACUUUGCUGCUCGGCAGCGUUCGAAAGGGAAUCAGGUUCAGAUUCCUGAACCAGAUACAACAAUAACGGGGUCAGCAUCGGUCGAGGCGCAUCAGAAGCGCAUGACGGCCGUCGCAAUAGUAGUCGCAGAUCUGCCCAUGUGCCGUAAAGCC